This 672-nucleotide long non-coding RNA is filed under the name Homo sapiens (human). RNAcentral describes it as "non-protein coding lnc-FARSB-3:1". The record is from RNAcentral. Lineage: Eukaryota; Metazoa; Chordata; Mammalia; Primates; Hominidae.
AAUACUUGCAGUGAGAGAUUUUGUACAAGCUGACGAACCAAGAGGAUCAACACAAUUCCCACUGCAAAUUUGGUCAGACCCAAAACUAACAUGUAGGUGGUGAGUGGUGGGAUGUUCUGAAUAACAGGGAGAGAUUCAGCGGGCUUGGAUACAAGCUGGAAGAAAUGGUUGAUCCAGAAUCCUAUGGUCACUCCAGCCCCGGCAGCCAGAAUGGUGGUGGUGUCCGCCCGGGUUGGGCUGUAGUAAUCAGAAACAGGGUAAUUGUAACACAGGAAGAAUGGCACAACUAUGACACACACGGGGAAGAGGGGGCUGGCCGAGUCCAGGCAGUCGAUGAAGGUCCAGGCAGGGUAGGUGAGGACGAUGAGGAGUGCGGUGAUCAGGACGCCACCCAGCACAUCCUUUGGGAAGGAGAGAAAAGAACAGUGUGAACCAAUGAGUGUUUCCUUGUAUACAGGUAUAAUUUGAAUCAAGUAUGGCUAAUUUGAUAUUUAAAACACAAUUUUUGCAUUGUUUUAUUUUACAGUACAUGUUCAAAGAAAGUGUAAAGUUCUAAAACUUUGAAGUGAAAAUACGAAAAAAUGCUUCCAACAACCAUACUACUCAUGUUACGUAUCUUCUUUCACCUUUUUUACCUUUUGGAAUAAAUUCUGUAUUUGUUUUCUUAAUGAA